This 230-nucleotide ribosomal RNA is filed under the name uncultured bacterium. RNAcentral's name for it is "partial 16S ribosomal RNA". It matches the Rfam family "Bacterial small subunit ribosomal RNA", at positions 563 to 791 of the family's 1533-position model. The record is from RNAcentral.
AAGCGCGCGUAGGUGGUUUGUUAAGUUGGAUGUGAAAUCCCCGGGCUCAACCUGGGAACUGCAUUCAAAACUGACUGACUAGAGUAUGGUAGAGGGUGGUGGAAUUUCCUGUGUAGCGGUGAAAUGCGUAGAUAUAGGAAGGAACACCAGUGGCGAAGGCGACCACCUGGACUAAUACUGACACUGAGGUGCGAAAGCGUGGGGAGCAAACAGGAUUAGAUACCCCUUGU